ACUUGGAAGGGACCCAGUAAGGGAUCUGUUGCGCCACAGGGGUCUCCAGGGCCCUCGCAGGUUGGGGUGGUCUGAGCUAGUCUGAAGGAGGACAGUCAGCUGACUUCUCCUUUAUCUCUCUUUCCCAGGAUAGCAGGUUCCCUUGGUGUAUUACAGUUUCUGAAGUGUUGAUUCCCUUUUCAAUUGAUUCCACAGAUGACAGUCCUGACGUUUAAAAAAUUGCCAGAUAACCUUUAAUUUUUUUUUUUUUAACAGAACACAAACUUAAGCCAGAUUGCCUAGGAUUGAACCUUGGCCUCUCACUUCCUAGACGAGUGGCCUUGGCUAGUUAACCACCUUCGUGAGCCUCAGUUUUGUCAUCUGUAAAAUGGGAGUCAUAAGUGUCUACCUCACAGAGCUGUGAUUGAAAGGAUAAAUAGCACCUUGCACAUAGCGGUGUAGAAGUGCUUGUUAUUGUUAAUAUUUUAUUUACCUUCACGCAGGUAACAGCCACAACAUCUGCCCACUCUUCCCCACACCUUACUGUCCCUUGAAAUGUUUCCCAUUUUACUAUAGUAUGCAUUUUUUGGCUUCUUCCCUUUAGGGAAAUGAGUAUGUGAUAGUAAAGCGUGUCUUGGUUUAUGUCCUAGGAGUCAGAAGCUAAGAGACUCCUUUUUGUGCUUGUACAUUUGUCUUAACUGAAAAUAACCCAAGGAUAAGGAAACAAAUAGCUUCCUGAAAUUACUCGGAUUGCGGGGGUGAGGGGUGAGGGCUGGGGGGUGGUGAUUCUGUCUUCAUAGGAUGGCAGCAAAGGCCAAAGUCUUAUUUGAGUUAUUACCAUUAUUAUUCACCACACUUGCCAUCUUAUUUCAAGCCUACAGUGGCGGAAGUGGAGUAAGACAUCAUGUUGCCUCAAGUUUAAUUGGAAAUCGCGUGCCUUGUGAAGAAUGGACACUCAGUAGAUGCUUAUUGAUGAACCUGUUGGUUGAGGAUAACUCGCUAACUUUUCUGAGCUUUGUUGGAAAAACUGUGAGUACCUAUGUUGGGUAGAAAUUGGAAGACAGCCCCUAGCAUUUUACAUCAUCCUUGGAGCUUUAUUUAUAGUCAUUAAAUGCAGAAGACUCCCCAGUUCAUGAAUUUAUUGUGCUCAACAGGACAACUGCUGAGGUCUAGUGCAUGUGUGGCACAAGAAAAUGUUUAUCAAGCCUCAUAUGUCAAAUUAACGAACUACAUAAGAAACAGAAAUGAAGAUUGUUUUCUCAUCACUUGUCAAUACAUUUUUAAAGGAUACUGCGAUUACAUAGAAAUAAUUUUAUUUUAUUUAUUUAUUUAUUUUGAGACGGAGUUUCGCUGUUGUCGCCCAGGCUGGAGUGCAAUGGCACGAUAUCGGCUCACUGCAACCUCCGCCUCCCAGGUUCAAGCAAUUCUCCUGCCUCAGCCUCCCAAGUAGCUGGAAUUACAGGCACCAGCCACCACGCCUGGCUAAUUUUUAUAUUUUUAGUAGAGAUGGGGUUUCACCACGUUGGCUAGGCUGGUCUCAAACUCCUGACCUCAGGUGAUCUGCCCGCCUCAGCCUCCCAAAGUGCUGGGAUUAUAGGUGUGAGCCACCGCACCCAGCCAUGUAAAAAUAAUUUUAAAGGCUUGAUUUUCUGGAACGUAAAGUAAGAAGAGGUAUAUUUCACAGCCUGUAUAUCAAUGUCAAAUGGAAAUGUGGAGAAUUGAAUUGGAUUGAAUUAUUUUGGGAAUUUGCACCAAACAUCCCUGUUGGUUUCUUCAAAAUGACAAAAACUGUAAGGAAAGUGAGAAAUGACAAGGUAAAUAGAAUAAGAUAAUACAAAAAUGUUACAAGUAAUGUCAAUACAUUUAACUGCAUACAUGAGAAAAUAUUUAAAGGUUGAUUAGUGUAACAUGAGUUUGCUCUAUUAAUUGAGAAAGUUCAGUUCUGUAGUAGAGCACAGAAUGAGGUGGAUUAAUCCCAUAGGAUGUGCUAAGCACAGAUAAUGAGUAAGCGAGUAGCUUGUGAGACAUAGGUAGAAUUCAUAAUAUACUAAAUAUAGACUGAUAUAUGUACUAUAUUAUUAUAUUUACCAUAUUACUGUAUUAUUGUAUUUAUUAUAUUUACUAUAUUAAAUAUAUUUACUAUAUUACUAUAUUAUUUAUAGAUGGAAAGGGAUGGAAAGAACCAGCCACUUAUACCAGCCACUUAUGGUCCUACUCUGGGCCCACAUGUGCUCUACCUAAGAAAUCCUUAUAGUACCCAUAGCUUUUUGCAGGCUGAUUGACAAGUUAUGGCUGUGGCCAGGCGUACUUGUCACUGUCUCUCUUUAAUAGAGCAAGUGUGUAUCAUUGGCCCCAAGCACCUUCUGUCUGUUGACCUGGCUCAAACUUCAAUCUGACCAUCAGUGAAGAAGGCUGAUGCCGCAGAUGGAGAGAGACACAGGAUGUAUGAAUGUAGCAUAACUCAGGAUUCACCUCGUGUGGUCCUUCCCACUUGAACCCUAUCCUAAGUGUGAAAGUUACCCCAUCGCUUUCCUCUUGCUUCAGAUUAUGUGCUUUAAAGUGAUUUAAUAAACUAUGCGAUUCAAACAUCUUAAUUUGAUCUUUGAGCCUGUUUUGUGACUUCCGGGAUAGCUUGCCUUGUAGUGUACUUGUAGGUCACCAUUGCAUCAAGGUAAUUUCUCAUGACAACUACAAAAAACUUAGAAAAUAAGAACAUAGCAUUGUAUAGCAUAAAGGAAAGCAAUCUGAAGAGGAGAAAGACAGGUAGUCACAAAUUGUGUCAUUAAUAGACUGAAAGACCAAAAAAGUAAAGGACAAACCAAAAGACAGUGUGGAGAAGAUUUUUUUCUAAAUUGAUUUAUAGAAAAAGGAAUGAGACAAGAAAGAAAGACAUGGUUUGGGCAAUGUAUAAAUGUCAUUGAUCCCAAUUCUACUUUAUUUCUGAGACCAAAAUAACAGUUUCAGAGGUGACUACCACAAGGUCCAACAAGUGGACUCAUCCCUGAAUUUCUUCCUCCUCCUCCUUCUUUCUUCUUCCUCCUCCUCCUCUUCUUUCUUUCCUUCUUUCCUUUCCUCUUUCUCUCUCUUUCUUUUUCUUUCUUUCUUCCUUUCUUUCUCUCUCUCUUUCUCUCUAUUUCUUUCUUUCUGUGUCUCUCUCUUUCUUUUUCUUUUUUUCUUUCCUUUUCUUUCUUCUUUUUUUUUUUCCUCAAAAAGAAUCUCUUGCUCUGCUGCCCAGGCUGGAGUACAGUGGUGUGAUCACAGCUCACUAUAAUCUCAAACUCCUGGGCUCAAGUAAUCCUCUCACUUCAGCCUCCCAAGUAGCUAGGACAACAGGUGCACAUCACCACACCCAGCUAAUUUUUUAUUUUAUUUUUUCUAGAGACAGGGGUCUCACUAUGUGAUGCAGGAUGAUCUCAAACUCCCUGGCCUCAAGCGAUCCUCCUGCCUUGGUCUCCUAAAGUGCUGGGAUUACAGGUAUGAGCCACUGCACCUGGCCUAUCCUGAAUUUUUUUAAUUCAUGCUACAUAGCAUUACAAGUUUGUAAAAAAAAAAAAAAGUUUACGACAUUUUUAAAGACAGAAAAGUAAUAGGCUUUAAAAAUACCUAUAACUAGGAAGGAAAUGCAUAUAAAAUACUACUUUCAAUA
RNAcentral lists this long non-coding RNA (3625 nucleotides) under Homo sapiens (human). RNAcentral's name for it is "non-protein coding lnc-SEC24D-1:12". Lineage: Eukaryota; Metazoa; Chordata; Mammalia; Primates; Hominidae. The record is from RNAcentral.